GUAGGGAAUAUUGGACAAUGGGCGAAAGCCUGAUCCAGCAAUGCCGCGUGAGUGAUGAAGGCCUUAGGGUUGUAAAGCUCUUUUACCAGGGAUGAUAAUGACAGUACCUGGAGAAUAAGCUCCGGCUAACUCCGUGCCAGCAGCCGCGGUAAUACGGAGGGAGCUAGCGUUGUUCGGAAUUACUGGGCGUAAAGCGCGCGUAGGCGGCGAUUUAAGUCAGAGGUGAAAGCCCGGGGCUCAACCCCGGAAUAGCCUUUGAGACUGGAUUGCUAGAAUCCUGGAGAGGUGAGUGGAAUUCCGAGUGUAGAGGUGAAAUUCGUAGAUAUUCGGAAGAACACCAGUGGCGAAGGCGGCUCACUGGACAGGUAUUGACGCUGAGGUGCGAAAGCGUGGGGAGCGAACGGGAUUAGAAACCCGGGUAGUCC
Molecule: ribosomal RNA, 425 nt
Filed under: uncultured bacterium
Lineage: Bacteria
Description: partial 16S ribosomal RNA
Rfam family: Bacterial small subunit ribosomal RNA
Source: RNAcentral